This 76-nucleotide transfer RNA is filed under the name Anaerolineae bacterium. RNAcentral describes it as "tRNA-Arg". It matches the Rfam family "tRNA". From Rfam's summary of the family: Transfer RNA (tRNA) molecules are approximately 80 nucleotides in length. Their secondary structure includes four short double-helical elements and three loops (D, anti-codon, and T loops). RNAcentral also lists the same sequence under 1 other name. The record is from RNAcentral. Lineage: Bacteria; Bacillati; Chloroflexota; Anaerolineae.
GCCCCCGUAGCUCAAUGGACAGAGCGACAGCCUUCUAAGCUGCAGGUUGUGGGUUCGAGUCCCGCCGGGGGCGCCA